CGCUGAGGCGCGAAAGCGUGGGGAGCAAACAGGAUUAGAUACCCUGGUAGUCCACGCCCUAAACGAUGAAUGUUAGUCGUCGGGUAGCUAGUCUAUUCGGUGAUGCAGCUAACGCAUUAAACAUUCCGCCUGGGGAGUACGGUCGCAAGAUUAAAACUCAAAGGAAUAGACGGGGACCCGCACAAGUGGUGGAGCAUGUGGUUUAAUUCGAAGAUACGCGAAGAACCUUACCUAGCCUUGACAUAUAUUAGAACACUUUAGAGAUAGAGUGGUGCCUUCGGGAGCUUUUAUACAGGUGCUGCACGGCUGUCGUCAGCUCGUGUCGUGAGAUGUUGGGUUAAGUCCCGCAACGAGCGCAACCCUCGUCACUAGUUACUAACGGUUCGGCCGAGGACUCUAGUGAGACUGCCUUCGUAAGGAGGAGGAAGGUGAGGACGACGUCAAGUCAUCAUGGCCCUUACGGCUAGGGCAACACACGUGCUACAAUGGCCAGGACAAUGAGAAGCGAUACCGCGAGGUGGAGCAAAUCUAUAAACCUGGUCUCAGUUCGGAUUGUAGUCUGCAACUCGACUACAUGAAGCUGGAAUCACUAGUAAUCGUAGAUCAGCUAUGCUACGGUGAAUACAUUCCCGGGUCUUGUACUCACCGCCCGUCACACCAUGGGAGUUGAUUUCACCCGAAGCGGGGAAGCUAAACUGGCUACCCUCCACAGUGGAAUCAGCGACUGGGGUGAAGUCGUAACAAGGUAACCGUA
This 754-nucleotide ribosomal RNA is filed under the name uncultured bacterium. RNAcentral's name for it is "bacterial SSU rRNA". It matches the Rfam family "Bacterial small subunit ribosomal RNA", at positions 744 to 1504 of the family's 1533-position model. The record is from RNAcentral.